This 73-nucleotide transfer RNA is filed under the name Chitinophagales bacterium. RNAcentral's name for it is "tRNA-Phe". It matches the Rfam family "tRNA". Rfam says of the family: Transfer RNA (tRNA) molecules are approximately 80 nucleotides in length. Their secondary structure includes four short double-helical elements and three loops (D, anti-codon, and T loops). RNAcentral also lists the same sequence under 1 other name. Lineage: Bacteria; Pseudomonadati; Bacteroidota; Chitinophagia; Chitinophagales. The record is from RNAcentral.
GGUUUGGUAGCUCAGUUGGUAGAGCAAUAGACUGAAAAUCUAUGUGUCGGGGGUUCAAUUCCCUCCCAAACCA